Molecule: long non-coding RNA, 253 nt
Organism: Girardinichthys multiradiatus
Lineage: Eukaryota; Metazoa; Chordata; Actinopteri; Cyprinodontiformes; Goodeidae
Exons: 4
Source: RefSeq, a predicted model, not a curated record
GAUGAAGGAAGUGCUGAAGAGGAGACCAAAAAGAGGAAAAGGGAGUUUUCUGACCUCUUCAAGAAGCAGAUGAAUCUGCGGAAGGCCACUGAUGGCCCGAGGGAGGACUUUGUUCCACCAGAUGCUGACUGCCCGCUCAGAGAGGCCAGCAGCCAGAAGAUCCCCCGGCUCACUGUGAAGACUAGAGAGCAUUGCUUGUACCGCCUGCGAGAUGCUCUGUGUGGCCAGCAGGGGGCAGAAGACACAUUUAGAU